UCGAGAGUUUGAUCCUGGCUCAGGAUGAACGCUAGCGGCAGGCUUAACACAUGCAAGUCGAGGGGUAUAGUUCUUCGGAGCUAGAGACCGGCGCACGGGUGCGUAACGCGUAUGCAAUCUACCUUUUACAGAGGGAUAGCCCAGAGAAAUUUGGAUUAAUACCUCAUAGUAUGUGAGAAUCGCAUGGUUUUCACAUUAAAGUCACAACGGUAAAAGAUGAGCAUGCGUCCCAUUAGCUAGAUGGUAAGGUAACGGCUUACCAUGGCUACGAUGGGUAGGGGUCCUGAGAGGGAGAUCCCCCACACUGGUACUGAGACACGGACCAGACUCCUACGGGAGCAGCAGUGAGGAAUAUUGGACAAUGGGGCGCAAGCCCUGAUCCCAGCCAUGCCGCGUGCAGGAUGACGGUCCUAUGGAUUGUAAACUGCUUUUAUACAGGAAGAAACACCUCUACGUGUAGAGACUUGACGGUACUGUAUGAAU
Molecule: ribosomal RNA, 483 nt
Filed under: uncultured Flavobacterium sp.
Lineage: Bacteria; Pseudomonadati; Bacteroidota; Flavobacteriia; Flavobacteriales; Flavobacteriaceae
Description: bacterial SSU rRNA
Rfam family: Bacterial small subunit ribosomal RNA
Source: RNAcentral